This 424-nucleotide ribosomal RNA is filed under the name uncultured bacterium. RNAcentral's name for it is "bacterial SSU rRNA". It matches the Rfam family "Bacterial small subunit ribosomal RNA", at positions 354 to 796 of the family's 1533-position model. The record is from RNAcentral.
GUGGGGAAUCUUGCACAAUGGGCGAAAGCCUGAUGCAGCAACGCCGCGUGAGCGAUGAAGGCCUUCGGGUCGUAAAGCUCUGUCCUAUGGGAAGAUAAUGACGGUACCAUAGGAGGAAGCCCCGGCUAACUACGUGCCAGCAGCCGCGGUAAUACGUAGGGGGCAAGCGUUAUCCGGAAUUACUGGGCGUAAAGGGUGCGUAGGCGGUUUAUCAAGUCAGAGGUCAAAGGCUACGGCUCAACCGUAGUAAGCCUCUGAAACUGAUGAACUUGAGUAUAGGAGAGGAAAGUGGAAUUCCCAGUGUAGCGGUGAAAUGCGUAGAUAUUGGGAGGAACACCAGUGGCGAAGGCGACUUUCUGGACUAUAACUGACGCUGAGGCACGAAAGCGUGGGGAGCAAACAGGAUUAGAAACCCCAGUAGUCC